CCUCGGAUCAGGUAGGGAUACCCGCUGAACUUAAGCAUAUCAA
This 43-nucleotide ribosomal RNA is filed under the name Wilsonomyces carpophilus. RNAcentral's name for it is "partial 28S ribosomal RNA". The record is from RNAcentral. Lineage: Eukaryota; Fungi; Ascomycota; Dothideomycetes.